UACGGGGGGUGCAAGCGUUGCUCGGAAUUAUUGGGCGUAAAGCGUACGCAGGCGGCUCUGUAAGUCGAGGGUGAAAUCCCGGGGCUCAACCCCGGACUUGCCUUCGAAACUGCCGAGCUUGAGUGCGGGAGAGGGAAGCGGAAUUCCUGGUGUAGAGGUGAAAUUCGUAGAUAUCAGGAGGAACACCGGUGGCGAAAGCGGCUUCCUGGCCCGAUACUGACGCUCAGGUACGAAAGCGUGGGGAGCAAACAGG
This 253-nucleotide ribosomal RNA is filed under the name uncultured bacterium. RNAcentral's name for it is "partial 16S ribosomal RNA". It matches the Rfam family "Bacterial small subunit ribosomal RNA", at positions 524 to 776 of the family's 1533-position model. The record is from RNAcentral.